GAUGAACGCUGGCGGCGUGCCUAAUACAUGCAAGUCGAGCGAACAGACGAGGAGCUUGCUCCUUUGACGUUAGCGGCGGACGGGUGAGUAACACGUAGGUAACCUACCUAUAAGACUGGGAUAACUUCGGGAAACCGGAGCUAAUACCGGAUAAUAUUUCGAACCGCAUGGUUCGAUAGUGAAAGAUGGCUUUGCUAUCACUUAUAGAUGGACCUGCGCCGUAUUAGCUAGUUGGUAAGGUAACGGCUUACCAAGGCAACGAUACGUAGCCGACCUGAGAGGGUGAUCGGCCACACUGGAGCUGAGACACGGUCCAGACUCCUACGGGAGGCAGCAGUAGGGAAUCUUCCGCAAUGGGCGAAAGCCUGACGGAGCAACGCCGCGUGAGUGAUGAAGGUCUUCGGAUCGUAAAACUCUGUUAUUAGGGAAGAACAAACGUGUAAGUAACUGUGCACGUCUUGACGGUACCUAAUCAGAAAGCCACGGCUAACUACGUG
Molecule: ribosomal RNA, 497 nt
Filed under: uncultured bacterium
Lineage: Bacteria
Description: partial 16S ribosomal RNA
Rfam family: Bacterial small subunit ribosomal RNA
Source: RNAcentral